RNAcentral lists this ribosomal RNA (408 nucleotides) under uncultured bacterium. RNAcentral describes it as "partial 16S ribosomal RNA". It matches the Rfam family "Bacterial small subunit ribosomal RNA", at positions 28 to 526 of the family's 1533-position model. The record is from RNAcentral.
GACGAACGCUGGCGGCGUGCUUAACACAUGCAAGUCGAACGAAGUGGCGAACGGGUGAGUAACGCGUAAUCAACCUGCCCUUCAGAGGGGGACAAACGUUGGAAACGACUUCCAAUACCGCAUACUGAAGGAGGGGAAUGGGUCUGAUUAGCUCGUAGGAGGGGUAACGGCCCACCAAGGCGAUGAUCAGUAGCCGGGUUGUGAGUGUGAACGGCAACAUUGGGACUGAGACACGGCCCAGACUCCUACGGGAGGCAGCAGUGGGGAAUCUGCCGCAAUGGACGAAAGUCUGACGGAGCAACGCCGCGUGAGUGAUGACGGCCUUCGGGUUGUAAAGCUCUGUUAAUCGGGACGCGGUACCGGAAUAGAAAGCCACGGCUAACUACGUGCCAGCAGCCGCGGUAAUUC